CUAAAUGCUGCCUAAGUCAAAAACAUUUCCCAACAUUGAAGUUUUGUGUCGUUUACGUCAUAUAUUGUUGCAAGAAGCAUUCUGUGCUAGUCGUGGAGCUAUAUAGGUCUAAGUUUGGCAGACUGUCCUGAGGCAGUAGCAGCCGUUCAAAACUCCUUGAUGGAGGUUGGCUCUUUCACUCUGAAUCAGAACUUGUGCCGUUCAGCCACCAUCCUCCUCAUCCAUGGGCCCUAUAACCCAUGCCGCCUGUUUUGAAAUUGUAUGUGGUGAGUAGUGACACCAGCAAGUAUAACAUAGCUAUGAACCUCUCAGCCGGCGACAUGGAUGGCAAACAAGCGACUCACAUCUCAUCUGAAUCGACAGAAAACAGAUGCUGCAUUGAGCAUGCUUGGCGGCAGUCAUCCUCUGCUUCAGUUCAGUUAUCAGUUUUGACUCAAGGCCUCACUCUCAGUUGCAACUCUCAUCUAGAACAACUGGGAACAAGCGAUACAAUUGAACAACACAAGGAUGACAUGCCUUGCCUCUCUCUAGCAGAAGCAGACCAACAUAUGCAACAGAAUACUAACCACCCUGUUCCUUCACUCACUUGGUUGUACAAAAGGCAAUCAACAGUCAAACAUAUACAAGGAAACAAGCACAGCCUUGCCUGAUGCUCUAGAUACUGUCAUUUCACGUUCAGACUUCAGAAACAUGGUACUGAGGAUCAGAUAAUGCAGAGCUAGACACGCCUCACGUACCUGCUUCACCAUUUUAUAUAAUUCAUCACUAAACAAGGAAAAAACCACUUAGACGAGCGCCCAAGUCAAUUGAAAGGGGUGGUACCAAACUACCAUCCAACAGACUGAUCCCAUCCCUGACUGAAAAGCUCAGGCGCCCACCAUCCAUCAUGUAGACAAGUAAAUGAGCAGUAAACAACAGCAUUCUUUGCAGUCAGGGGUUCACUCCAAUUCAACUCAAUGCAGCAAGGUCAACAUGACAGCGGGCCAAGUGUUCCACAUAACAAAAGCAAAUGCAUUCCCACUUCUCACUCUUUCGAGUGGUCCAGUGAUGAUGUAAUGUUGUAUGUAGUCCUAUCAUGAUUUCGUGAAAGGAUAGAUAUAUACUUGGCCAUGUUACAGCCUAGAACAAGAAUCCAUAGUCAUCCAGAUUUUCAGUGAUGUAUUUGUUGUGCUCUGGUGCCACCCUACUUAGGAUACUACUAAAAGCAAAGUUUGCUUUAUGGUUGUAUUGCAUUCCAAAAGGGAUAUCUUGUUUUUGUUUGCUU
Molecule: long non-coding RNA, 1264 nt
Organism: Panicum virgatum (switchgrass)
Lineage: Eukaryota; Viridiplantae; Streptophyta; Magnoliopsida; Poales; Poaceae
Exons: 2
Source: RefSeq, a predicted model, not a curated record